AUGAACGCUGGCGGCGUGCUUAACACAUGCAAGUCGAACGAAGCACCUCUAAUUGAAGAUUGACGAAGCUUGCUUCUGAUUGAUUCGCCUUGAGGUGACUGAGUGGCGGACGGGUGAGUAACGCGUGGGUAACCUACCCUAUACAGGGGGAUAACAGUUGGAAACAGCUGCUAAUACCGCAUAAGCGCACAGCUUCGCAUGAAGCAGUGUGAAAAAACUCCGGUGGUAUAGGAUGGACCCGCGUCUGAUUAGCUAGUUGGUGAGGUAACGGCUCACCAAGGCGACGAUCAGUAGCCGACCUGAGAGGGUGACCGGCCACAUUGGGACUGAGACACGGCCCAAACUCCUACGGGAGGCAGCAGUGGGGAAUAUUGCACAAUGGGCGAAAGCCUGAUGCAGCGACGCCGCGUGAACGAAGAAGUAUUUCGGUAUGUAAAGUUCUAUCAGCAGGGAAGAAAAAUGACGGUACCUGACUAAGAAGCUCCGGCUAAAUACGUGCCAGCCGCCGC
This 509-nucleotide ribosomal RNA is filed under the name uncultured bacterium. RNAcentral's name for it is "bacterial SSU rRNA". It matches the Rfam family "Bacterial small subunit ribosomal RNA", at positions 29 to 518 of the family's 1533-position model. The record is from RNAcentral.